Molecule: RNA transcript, 4256 nt
Organism: Mustela erminea (ermine)
Lineage: Eukaryota; Metazoa; Chordata; Mammalia; Carnivora; Mustelidae
Exons: 2
Source: RefSeq, a predicted model, not a curated record
AGGCUGGGGGUCAGAGUGGACCACCUGCACAGGCGGGGGCAGGGAGGGGUCUCUGAGACCCCCGGGGCCCUCCCUAAGUUCCUGUGCUGCUCUUGGGCACCUCAAGGGUCAUAGACCCCUACCAGGCCUGAGCUGGGCUGAAGGCAGAGCUGUCGGAGGCUCGCAGUGCUGUCAUUCUGGGGGGAGCGAGGUGGCCACUUUGUCUACAAAGCAGGACUGUGACCGGGGUGUCCCGGAGUCUGAGGCACGGGGCUGGGGCUGAGCCACACAGAUCUGUCGCCCCUCAGGCUCCCGCAGCGGGUGGCCCAGGCGCAGGGGUGAGGCCGCCCUGUCCCAGGGACAGAAGCUCAGCACAAAUCGCCCCUUUCUCUUAGAAAAGAGAUUGACUGCCUCUUUGGGGCCCAUCAAGUUCUCCAGUGCUGCGUCUUCGGUGCUGCCUAUGGCUCCUGGCCCUCGCCCUCCGAUGCCGCUUCCCCGCCUCCCUUCUUCGGGUGAGCCCUGCUUUUCAUGGCUUCUUCCCUGGAGCCGGACAAGGCCUCUCCCGUCCUUUGAUGAACUCUCCUGUAGCCCAUUCUUUACGACUCCUUCGUUUUCGCUACAGGAGCGUUGCUCUUUGCUACUACAAGCAAUAAAGUAACACCAGGAGCAACGCAGUGAGCACCUGUGUGGGUGCCGGGUCUCUGCUAUGCCUUAGCGCUCAGCCCUGACCUGCCCCGCCAAGCAAGUAGAUGCUGUCCCCUGGGGAUGUUCCAGAAGUGCAGUGGGAGGGGUUGCCCUGUCAGGGAGGGUCGGGAGCACGCCCCCCCCCCACCCCGCCCCGGUCUGAUCCCGAAGCCCAGCGCUGGUGCAAGUCCACACUGCUUGAGAAUUCCGGCUUCCCAGGCCCUGCGGGUCACGGUCGUAUCAGUGGCCACGCGCUCUGAUUUGGGGGGCGACCGUAGCCAGAGGGUCUCCUUGUGUGGAAGGGAUGACCUGACCCGUUGGGCAGCAGGCAAGUUCUCUGAGCCCGCUCGUGUUCACUUCUUAGCAAAGUGGAGGCUUUUCUCCUCCUGCCCGAGAGAAGGAUUUAGAGAAAAGGCCUCGUUCCGGGGGACCCCACAUAGUUGGUAGAAAGGACCUCAGAAUAGAUGGGAUACGACUGGUUUCUUUGUGGGGGAGCAGGAAAUCAGCCUUGUGGAGGGGAGGGAUCCCUGGGUGGGUCCUCCAGUGCUGCCUCCCAGCCACCCCCCUGCCCAGACCCCUUGUUCAGGGCCCUUGACAGGUGGUCUGGGUUCCCCCAGGGGGUGUCUCACACAGUGGCUCGUCCCCGGAGCAGCAGCGGCAGCCAUUUGCAAAUCCCACUGUUGGUCCCGGGCAGGGGCGCCUCCUGAGCCGGCUGCUGCAUUCCCCAGGGAUGCCAAGCAUCUCUGUUUCCGGCGUCCCUGGUGGUGAGGCUCGAGGGAGUGCCGCUGAGCCCUGCUGGCCUCCCACAUCCUUGUCCGCAUGUGGGGGGUCAGGUGCCUGUGUGCUCCCUUACGACCUCCCGAGGGCUCCCUUACGUGGGUGGCUCUCAGCUGCAGCAGGUGCGGGGGCUCUGCCCACCUGGGCCCCAGGCUAACCUACCCAGAGCCCUGCCCUCCCCUCUCUCUACUCCAGGGCCCCCCGCAACAACCACCAGAGCCCGCUCCCUAAAAGCCAAGAUCCGGUCUUGUCUUCAGCCCCCAAGUCCUCAGGCUCCGCAAGCCAAGCUCCUGAGCACAGUCAUCAAAGCCUUUCACUCGGUGUCUGUGUUGGUGACUGUUUUUUCUGUAACGUGCCUGCAAACGUCUUCACAGCAAAGAUGCCGGACAUCAUCAUUCUGAAAUGCAUUCUAGAGAGUGUAGUGAGCCUCACGCCCAAACAGUAGCCCCAAAUCACAGAGCUGGGCGGGGGGAUGGAACAAAGAUGAACCCGGUGUUCUGUGAGGCGCAGACUCCUACUUAGCCCCAUGUCCUGAGUGGCAGAAGCAGUGUGUGUGCCUAGAUUUGGUAAAAAACAAAACAAAACACAUACCCUAAAGUUUACCGUCUUAACCAUCUCCAAGUGUACAGUUCAGUAACGUCAAAUAUAGUCACGUUAUUGUGCAACCAAUCUCCGGAAUGUUCUCCUUUUGCAAAACUGACAUUCUGUUUCCAUGAAACAAGUCCCCUUCGCCCUGUCCCCAGCCGACCGCCACCAUUCCCUUUCUGUCUCGUAGAUGGGAUUAUUCUAGGAACUCCGUGGGAGCAGCUUCAUACAGAUUUACCUCUUCGCUCAGCAUGAUAUCCUCAGGGCUCCUCCACGAGGUAGCACAUUUCAGAACGUCCCUCCUUGUUCUGGCCGAGCCCUCUCCCGCUGUGUGUUGGUGCGGACGGUGAGCCCAGCGAGCCCGCCGGAGGGUCGGCAGGGAGGAAUGAGCCGUGAGCGGGCUGCUGUCGCCUAAAAUGAGGAAUUCCAGAAGGGUGCCAAGCAGAUGGCCAAGCCCUGUCGGCGGGGGCACAAAGAAGUAGACCACAGCGGGCUUCUGGAAGCUUCCAACCUAUCUGGGGUGACAAGACACGCUCUGAAGGCAGAGAAGCCUCACGGGCACAGUUCCGCAUGCCGAUGAAGCCAGGGAGAGAGCCGCUCUCCAUCAGCUGGUUUCCUCCCCGGAACUCGUGCCCCCAAAUUCCUUUUUUGAGGGAAGGUGGGAUGAGUUUCUGGGUAUCCUUUUCUCGGCCUCUCGUCAUCAAACUGAUUGGAAAAAACAGAAAAAUGAUCUUUCUAAAGUUGCAACAUUCUCUUUUUCCUCUGAGUGCCAGAGGUAGGCUCAAAAAUGUUAAGCAAAGAAGCUCUUGCUCUCGAGAGCUCUGGGGAAUGGGGUUUUCUUGCUCCCACCCCAGGCGUGUUUCUCACGCCCCUCCUGCCCCAUCCUCUGCAGACACCGAGGGACAGAGCUGGACAGCAGAGGGACAGGAAGCGUUCUCAGCCGCCAGUCCUGGGACCAGCCCCCAGACAAUGGGGUCAGAGCCGCAGGACGGAACCUGUGUUCAGAGUUCUCGACGGAGCACGGAUGCCAGUCAGCAGAACGGGCAGACGUCUCUCCGACGGGCAGGUGGCCGGCAAAGCGUCCCUCCAAUGUCUGCCUGUCAGCCUGGCCAUGUGAGCCUCUCCAGCUCUUCAGCCCAUCGUUCCUCUGGGGCAGGGGCAGGUAAGUGCUGCUGACGUCGCCUGCAGGAGCCUGUACGUGACCAUCCCAGACGUCACGUUCCUGCUGCUGUGCUCAGCCCACAGACCUGUGUCCCCACAUGGCACUGGUCCUGGGCUCUCCUUCCUGCUGCGGCUGUGUCCCUGGGUUCCCAGGCUUUUAGCACUUUUGCUGUCGUCUAGAGGCAGGCGGCUGAGGGUGGAUGCCUCCGGAUCGCGCGCCUCGCCCCUUUCCUGAAUCUGCUCCUUGCAGGGGCGUCCGUGCCCCAGCACGUGGUUGGGGAUGAAUGGGUAUCCCGUACACCGUGAUCGUGCGUGAUUCUGGAUUUAUCCUCGGACGUGAGUGCAGCGAUGGGAAAUGUCACAGCCUCACACUGCUUUUAAAUAUGCUCAUCACUUCAGAGUCAAUGGGAAUUUGAAUUUCAAGAGCUCGUUCUUUCUCUUUCCAGGAAGAUAAAAACAACAACAACAGCAACAACAUACAGAUGUAGUAACAUCUGGUUUUCUGGGAUGCCCGGCUCAGUCAUGCAGGACACGAACGCUGCUGCUCUACCCACUGUCCCUUUCUUUUUGGGGGAAGAGUGUAAUGUAGGCAAUGAAACACUGGUUUUGAAUUUCUGCCUCUCUGCUGGGCCUGAGUACACAGAUGGUCCCUAUAAUAAUAAUAAUAAUAGUGAAAAAACCAGGUUUUGCUGAUAAUCAACAGUAUGUCAACAUUAUACACAAAAUAUUUUGGUUCUAUAUCAAAAUGAGCCUAGCUUUCAUGAAACCAACUCGCAGACACUUUCCCCACUGGAGUUUGAAGGGUUAAUUGAAAUUACCCAGAACAGAAUGACAUCAUCUCAAGCCUCUAGAAUAGAAUAUGGAGGGAGAAGCCAAGGGAGGGGGCUGUGCCCUCAUCCCGGAAUGGAGUGGAAGGAGCCGGGGAAGUCAGAAGCCUGAGGUUCCAUCCAAGCUCUGCCGCUCUGAUGGCAAAUCCUGAAUGAGACCACGAGUCUCUCCGAGCCUCACCAUUCUCUUCUUUAAAAUGGGAGCAGCUGGGACGCCUGGGUGGCUCAGUCGGUUAAGCGGCU